CCUACGGGUGGCUGCAGUAGGGAAUAUUGCUCAAUGGGGGAAACCCUGAAGCAGCAACGCCGCGUGGAGGAUGAAGGUUUUCGGAUUGUAAACUCCUUUUGUUAGAGAAGAUAAUUACGGGAUCUAACGAAUAAGCCCCGGCUAACUCCGGUCCAGCAGCCGCGGUUAUUCGGAGGGUGCAAGCGUUACUCGGAAUCACUGGGGGGAAAGAGCGCGGUGGCGGGAUAGCAAGUCAGAUGUGAAAUCCUAUGGCUUAAGCAGAGAAAUGCAUUUGAAACUGUUAUUCUAGAGUAUGGGAGAGGUAGGUGGAAUUCUUGGUGUAGGGGUAAAAUCCGUAGAGAUCAAGAGGAAUACUCAUUGCGAAGGCGACCUGCUAGAACAUAACUGACGCUGAUGCGCGAAAGCGUGGGGAGCAAACAGGAUUAGAUACCCCUGUAGUC
RNAcentral lists this ribosomal RNA (440 nucleotides) under uncultured bacterium. RNAcentral's name for it is "partial 16S ribosomal RNA". It matches the Rfam family "Bacterial small subunit ribosomal RNA", at positions 338 to 795 of the family's 1533-position model. The record is from RNAcentral.